Molecule: non-coding RNA, 2352 nt
Organism: Epinephelus lanceolatus (giant grouper)
Lineage: Eukaryota; Metazoa; Chordata; Actinopteri; Perciformes; Serranidae
Source: RefSeq, a predicted model, not a curated record
AGUAGCUCCGCUCUUUCAUGUUCAAUCCUCUUUCAGCUAUUUCUUGAUGCUCCAAGUCAAGCUCUGUUCUCAGCCUCGCUGGUUACAAAAGCCGGGGAGCUACAAGUGCUGCUUCAAAACACCUUUUGCUCUGUCAUUUUAGGUGGAAUCUUUGCACCCUCCUCCAUCCCAUGCACCUCCAGUCACCUUAUCUAUAGCCCAGGACCAGCUCAUCAAAAGCCCACUCCUCUUCCCAUCCAGAGCCUCAGCUCCCCCUUCACCACCAUGACCACAGCCAGAGUCUAGACUCCAUAGGGGGGAUCCCUAAUCUACUAUGUCUUUACCACCCUCCUGGAAUAUAUGACAUCACAAUGGUGUCUAAUCGCCAAAGACUUUUCACGUUUCUAACACUUAUGGGCACAUGUAAAUAAAUAUUAUUUUCUCUUGGAAUGAGUCUCUCCUGAUUGAAAUACAGUCAAACACGGCGGUCCAAUCUGACGUGUCUGCUGUGCUCAUACUAUGUUGCUUUGCUGGCUUCUUCCACUUUACCUUACACACUAACUGAUGGAGGCAGUGGUAGACCAGCAACUCUGACUGUAAGGUAAAGCAGUGAAAAUAUUUUAAAUAAAAUAUACACAUGAUAUACAUGAUGUUGAUUUUUUUAGGUGGGCCUUUUUUCGGUGGCUAAAAACUAAGCAUUUGAGGCAAACAUUGCUCAGCGCCAUUUGAUUUUAUGUAUUUGAUUGGACUCAACAUUAAGGUACUCAAAGCAAAAUGAUCAGGAUCAGGUCACCCAUAUUUGUGACUGAUCUCUUUGACUUUCCUUUGUCCUUUGGCUCUGGGUUGGCGGCCCCCAGACCCCUGAGCCUCUACCCAGUAUACCCAUAAUAAUCCAUAUCCAGUAUGGCUCUGUCCACCCCUCAGCCAGUUGAGAUGGUCCAGUCCAAUCACCAAUUACAUUAGCUUUUGAUAUCGAGUAAGGCAAUAUUUUAUCAAUGCAAUUCCAAGCCUCUCUAGUUUUUCAUUCCCCACUUAUAUCACGUUACCUCAUGAAAUAGAUUCUCACAUGAAAUAUUAGACCAAAUAGCAGCUAUCACUCAAUGUUAUCGAAUGGGUCAGUAAUGAAUACUCACGGACACAACCUGACGUACUCAUUUUGUUUUUUAUUUAUUUAUUACCUAAAAAAAGAAAAUGUUCUAUCACAAGUCACACUGAAAUGUAUUGCUUAAGAAAAAAAAUAUAUUCAUAUAUUUUUUCAUUUUUUUCUCUUUUUUUUGGCAUUUUUUUUCAUUUUUUUUCUUUUUUCGGAAACAUUGUUUAGUUUCCAUUAUAUUCCACCAAAAAAAAAACAAAAAAAAAAAACAAAAAAAACAAAAAAGUUUUUUUCAGACACGAGCAUCAGCUGCUGCCGUGUCCCGACAACCUUCUCCCCCACUUUAAAAAAAAAAAAAAAUGCACAAAGAAAUACAUAAUUCACAGUUACCAUUUUGGUUUCAUAAAUUAAUACAGUCACACAUGUGCUACACCGGUCUAGAGCUAGAACAUUGUAAAUUGUAUUCUUGAAUCCUGUUAUUUUCAAUAGUUGGCUACAAGAAAGAACAGGCAACUUAAAUGACGUGAUCAGAAUUCCACCAACAUACUGUUUUUUAUCCUCUCUGUAAUGCUUUUGUCAUCUUUUUUGUUUUUGUUUCAUCUUUUUGAGUUUCACACAGAAGUGAGGCACACACAGAGUAUAGUUCAUACAUAUACAAAACAAAAUUAAAUAAAAUUUGGGAGGGGCAGGGGAUAAAUUGUCCUUUAAUAAUGUUGUAUCCAAGGAAACAGGAAGUGCAUGUAGUCUGGAGUCCUCAGAGGACCUUUUUUCUUAUUCUGAAUCAGGGCUGUUUCUUGCCACCUAAGUACUGUGGUGUAAACUUCCUCAGUUUAACAUAAGUUACACAGAUUUGCAGCUUUUUGCAGCUUGUUGGUGGGAGGACUGAGUUAAGAGGGAUGUGAGGUUUUCGGACAACGGAGACCAACAAGCAUGGCAACACAAUGAAGAAAUGGGACAAAGACAGUAUUUGAGGAACAACACCAACUUUUUUUGAAUUGAUUCACUCAAACAAGCUCCACCCCUAAAAUCUACGACGCUCAUGGCUGUGAAUACUACAGUCCUGUGUUAUCAACCAAUGAAAACAAGCUUAAAUCUGACACUGACACAGCAAGGGCAACAUUUUUAAGGCACAGAAGCCUUGACAUAAUAGAGACUCCACCAGCUAAAAGCACUAAACGACAGAUGCCCAGUGUCCUCAGUGACAAAAAAUGGCGCCUUGAUGACAACAAGUCCGACAACGAUGCACAGAAAGUUUGAAAACCCAAAAGAAAAAAAAAAAA